AGUUUUAGUUUCCUUAGAAACAGUGAACUCCAGUUUUAGUUUCCUUAGAAACUGUGAACUCCAGUUUUAGUUUCCUUAGAAACAGUGAACUCCAGUUUUAGUUUCCUUAGAAACAGUGAACUCCAGUUUUAGUUAAUCUCGUCCUCUGCUGCAGCAAACUGCGAUAAAUACAAUUUUAGUUCAGAUCCAAGAAAAUAACAUCCAGCUGUAUCACGUUAUCAGCAGCAGUCAAUUGCUCAGUUUUAGUUUAUAUCUGAGCAGAUAUUCCUAAGUUGAACAUGACACAGACAUUUUCCAGCAGCAGCUUCACUUGUAGCUAGUGACAAUUUGUGGUCAUUUUAGCUUUAGUUUUUACCUCCGUAAGGAGUAGGAAGUUAUCAGCUUGUUAAUUUUUUGAGCUGUAGUUUGGAUAAAAUCUUAAUCUUCUCUAAAAGGCUUCUCUUGAUAAUAAAAUUAUGAGAAAUAAUUAUGUUAAUAUGUUGAUUACUGGUGUAUUCCUUGUUUGAGAUUAAAAAUGAGGUCCCAUUAAAAAAUCAAAAUAAUUGGACGAUUGAUCUAGAUCUGACCAUGAUUUGAAGUCUAUUUCCGUCUUAAUGCAAAGAAUUGCGAAGGGUUUUGUCUUUGUUUUAUGUAUUACAAACACACAUUGUAUAAUGUAUAGUACUAACUUACUAAAGCAUUUAUAGAAUCUAGAGUCUAACAAGUGAUCAUCUUAUUGGUGGUAUGCAGUAUCUGUCCUUAAAUAAUUGCAGAUUUACUUCUGUUCCGGUUGUCAUGACAACCACUUCUGUCCCGGUUUAGUUUCCGUUUGAUUUAUUCAUUCACGAUGAUUUUUAAAAUUCAAUUAUGUUCAUACUAAUUCUGUUGUAUUUUUCUGUGAGAUUAUUUUUGCCAUGUU
This is a long non-coding RNA of Bolinopsis microptera, 898 nucleotides long. RefSeq lists it as uncharacterized. Lineage: Eukaryota; Metazoa; Ctenophora; Tentaculata; Lobata; Bolinopsidae. The transcript has 2 exons. The record is from RefSeq and is a predicted model, not a curated record.